RNAcentral lists this ribosomal RNA (786 nucleotides) under alpha proteobacterium IMCC1710. Its description in RNAcentral is "bacterial SSU rRNA". It matches the Rfam family "Bacterial small subunit ribosomal RNA", at positions 60 to 892 of the family's 1533-position model. Lineage: Bacteria; Pseudomonadati; Pseudomonadota; Alphaproteobacteria. The record is from RNAcentral.
AGUCGAACGAGACCUUCGGGUCUAGUGGCGCACGGGUGCGUAACGCGUGGGAAUCUACCCUUUGCUACGGAAUAACUCAGAGAAAUUUGUGCUAAUACCGUAUGAUGUCGAAAGACCAAAGAUUUAUCGGCAAAGGACGAGCCCGCGUAGGAUUAGCUAGUUGGUGUGGUAAAGGCGCACCAAGGCGACGAUCCUUAGCUGGUCUGAGAGGAUGAUCAGCCACACUGGGACUGAGACACGGCCCAGACUCCUACGGGAGGCAGCAGUGGGGAAUAUUGGACAAUGGGCGAAAGCCUGAUCCAGCAAUGCCGCGUGAGUGAUGAAGGCCUUAGGGUUGUAAAGCUCUUUUACCAGGGAUGAUAAUGACAGUACCUGGAGAAUAAGCUCCGGCUAACUCCGUGCCAGCAGCCGCGGUAAUACGGAGGGAGCUAGCGUUGUUCGGAAUUACUGGGCGUAAAGCGUACGUAGGCGGUUAUUCAAGUCAGGGGUGAAAGCCUGGAGCUCAACUCCAGAACUGCCCUUGAAACUAGAUAACUAGAAUCUUGGAGAGGUGAGUGGAAUUCCGAGUGUAGAGGUGAAAUUCGUAGAUAUUCGGAAGAACACCAGUGGCGAAGGCGACUCACUGGACAAGUAUUGACGCUGAGGUACGAAAGCGUGGGGAGCANACAGGAUUAGAUACCCUGGUAGUCCACGCCGUAAACGAUGAUAACUAGCUGUUCGGGCUCUACGAGCUUGAGUGGCGCAGCUAACGCAUUAAGUUAUCCGCCUGGGGAGUACGGUCGCAAG